Nelumbo nucifera (sacred lotus) is the source of this 73-nucleotide non-coding RNA. Lineage: Eukaryota; Viridiplantae; Streptophyta; Magnoliopsida; Proteales; Nelumbonaceae. The record is from Rfam.
GCCCGUCUAGCUCAGUCGAUAGAGCGCAAGGCUCUUAACCUUGUGGUCGUGGGUUCGAGCGCCAUGGUGGGCG